Halorubrum saccharovorum is the source of this 53-nucleotide regulatory RNA element. It matches the Rfam family "leuA-Halobacteria RNA". The record is from Rfam. NCBI's taxonomy places the organism in Archaea, Methanobacteriati, Methanobacteriota, Halobacteria, Halobacteriales, Haloferacaceae.
UCGUUCGGAGGAUAGAGGAAGUCGCCUCACGGCGGCUGGCCGUGAAAUUCUCC